GAUGAACGCUAGCGGCAGGCUUAACACAUGCAAGUCGAGGGGCAGCAUAAAUAGUAGCAAUACUAUUGGUGGCGACCGGCGGACGGGUGCGUAACGCGUAUACAACCUUCCCUAAACAGGGGGAUAAUCUGGAGAAAUUCGGUCUAAUACCCCAUAACAUCAGAGCAGGCAUCUGUUUUGGUUAAAAUUUACGGAGGUUUAGGAGGGGUAUGCGUAGCAUUAGCUAGUUGGUGAGGUAACGGCUCACCAAGGCGACGAUGCUUAGGGGGACUGAGAGGUUAACCCCCCACACUGGUACUGAGACACGGACCAGACUCCUACGGGAGGCAGCAGUGAGGAAUAUUGGUCAAUGGGCGGAAGCCUGAACCAGCCAUGCCGCGUGCAGGAUGACGGCUCUAUGAGUUGUAAACUGCUUUUGUGCGAGGGUAAAGUGGGCUACGUGUAGCCUUUUGAAAGUAUCGUACGAAUAAGGAUCGGCUAACUCCGUGCCAGCCGCCGCGGUAA
This 504-nucleotide ribosomal RNA is filed under the name uncultured bacterium. Its description in RNAcentral is "partial 16S ribosomal RNA". It matches the Rfam family "Bacterial small subunit ribosomal RNA", at positions 28 to 523 of the family's 1533-position model. The record is from RNAcentral.